GACGCGCAUGAAUGGAUUAA
This 20-nucleotide small nuclear RNA is filed under the name Arabidopsis thaliana (thale cress). Its description in RNAcentral is "snRNA_16297". Lineage: Eukaryota; Viridiplantae; Streptophyta; Magnoliopsida; Brassicales; Brassicaceae. The record is from RNAcentral.